CCUACGGGAGGCAGCAGUGAGGAAUAUUGGUCAAUGGGAGAGAUCCUGAACCAGCCAAGCCGCGUGAGGGAAGACGGCCCUAUGGGUUGUAAACCUCUUUUGUCGGAGAACAAAACCCGGGACGUGUCCCGGACUGCGUGUAUCGGAAGAAUAAGGAUCGGCUAACUCCGUGCCAGCAGCCGCGGUAAUACGGAGGGUUCGGGCGUUAUCCGGAUUUAUUGGGUUUAAAGGGUGCGUAGGCCGUCCCUUAAGUCAGCGGUAAAAUGCCGGGGCCCAACCCCGGCAGAGCCGCGGAAACUGGGAGGCUUGAGUGGGCGAGAGGUAGGCGGAAUGCGCGGUGUAGCGGUGAAAUGCAUAGAUAUCGCGAAGAACUCCGAUUGCGAAGGCAGCGUACCGGAGCCAGACUGACGCUGAGGCACGAAGGCGUGGGGAUCGAACAGGAUUAGAUACCCCUGUAGUC
RNAcentral lists this ribosomal RNA (460 nucleotides) under uncultured bacterium. RNAcentral describes it as "partial 16S ribosomal RNA". It matches the Rfam family "Bacterial small subunit ribosomal RNA", at positions 338 to 795 of the family's 1533-position model. The record is from RNAcentral.